GUCGGGCUAGGAGUGUGGGGGUGCUCCCAGCUCAGGUGGGAUGGGGGUGACCAGGUUCAGCUCAUGGAGUCUGGGAGUAGGCGGAGACAGCUGGGGGGCAGAGGAGGCACCACUCAGAGGAGCGGGAGGAAAACAGAUAGGUCAAGACAGGCCAUUUCCUGGCCCCGGAGCAGACCCUGUGGGUGAGCAGGGAAGUUCCCGGAAGGAAGGAGGGGAUGGAGUACCAGAUCCCGCCAAGAAUGAGUCUUGCUCAGAAUUCAGCAGUGAAGCCAUCAGGACCUGGGCUUUUCUUUGUUGGUGGCCAGGGACCUCUGGAACCAACCAGCUAGGAGGAAGCUGGGAAGGGGACUGGGCCAUCCUGGAAGUGUGGCCACAGUCACUGUCACCUUUCAAAAGCACUUGCUGGCACCUUCUGAAAAGCCUCACCAUGUCCUUUCUGUACCCUGGGAGUUGCCCCAUGGCUGGAGCCAGGUACUGGCUGACCUUGG
Molecule: long non-coding RNA, 488 nt
Organism: Heterocephalus glaber (naked mole-rat)
Lineage: Eukaryota; Metazoa; Chordata; Mammalia; Rodentia; Bathyergidae
Source: Ensembl